Molecule: unclassified non-coding RNA, 364 nt
Filed under: fungal sp.
Lineage: Eukaryota; Fungi
Description: partial internal transcribed spacer region
Rfam family: Eukaryotic small subunit ribosomal RNA (bases 1-46)
Source: RNAcentral
AAGUCGUAACAAGGUAACCGUAGGUGAACCUGCGGUUGGAUCAUUAAAAAAUUUAUAUUUUUAAAGGAAAGAAUAGAAGGAGGGAAAAAUCUUCCCUUUUUUUAUUCUUUUUUUUAAAAGACACAAUUUGUGAAUUUGAUAACCGUUUUACUUGGUGGGUGACAGUGGGCAAAAUACUUUGUCCUCUGAUUUUUUCUUUUUUCUUUCUUUUUUGGUGAGUAAAAUUACCGAAAAGAAAGAAAAAAGGGAGAGCCCACCAGUAUUUUUAAUAAAAAAAGUUUAGAGAAAUUUUAAAACAAAAAAAAAAGUUAUUUUAUUUUUAUGAAUAAAAAAACAACUUUUGACAACGGAUCUCUAGGCUCUC